UGCUUUUAACAUGGACAUGUGGGCGUCUACGGCCAAUGAAUUGGGCUGUUGCAGGCCAUUGCAAUGCUACUGAGGCCAAACGGCUCGCUGAUCCUUGUUCAAAGCUUUCGAGUUACAUACAGCCCGGCUAGUGACACGUUGUGCUAAGAACCUGGUGUUGCGGGACGAGGCAUGUUGGAUUCAAUAAUUUAUUUGUUACUUUCGCAUCGUUCGGUGCAUUCUGGGGACUGUUUUGGCUUUUGGUUGCUUGCUUGGCUUUUUGCUGGGUGGGUCGCUACUAGUUGGGCGGUUGGUGUUUGGUUUGUUACGGGUGGUUGGCUGUCUGCUUGCGCAGCAACGUCCACGCGUGCAUACCUCUUCAGUUUUGCGACAAGGCUUUGUUUGUCUUGAGCAUAUUGUGGGUUUCCUGUGUUGCAUACCUAAUCGAUGGUAAAGUGUGGGUUUUAUGAUGUCCCUUUUCGUCAUGCGUCGCUCAUGCGGCGUGGGAUGAACAUUGAAGCGGUCUUUGUGAUCCACAUUGUUGUUGCAUUUGCAACGAUGAUGUGGCCUAUGAAGCAUCGUUUGGUCUCUUGUAUACGGAACCUGAUGUGGGCAUGGAUCUUAUUAGAUCUUGAAUCUGCCCUCGUUAAGCGUUCUCGCUUCUCCAAAACGAUUGUYUGCCAUGUCUUGGCUUGCCUUGGCAUGGUGGGCUACGUCGA
RNAcentral lists this unclassified non-coding RNA (698 nucleotides) under Volutaria lippii subsp. medians. Its description in RNAcentral is "partial external transcribed spacer". Lineage: Eukaryota; Viridiplantae; Streptophyta; Magnoliopsida; Asterales; Asteraceae. The record is from RNAcentral.